This 437-nucleotide ribosomal RNA is filed under the name uncultured bacterium. RNAcentral's name for it is "bacterial SSU rRNA". It matches the Rfam family "Bacterial small subunit ribosomal RNA", at positions 64 to 507 of the family's 1533-position model. The record is from RNAcentral.
GAGCGAGAAAAGGGUAGCAAUAUCCUGAGUACAGCGGCGCACGGGUGAGUAACACGUGGGUAAUCUGCCCUGGAGUGGGGAAUAACACCGGGAAACCGGUGCUAAUACCGCAUACGAUCACGAUGUCUGCGGAUGUUGUGAUGAAAGGAGCAAUUCGCUCCAGGAGGAGCCCGCGGCUGAUUAGCUAGUUGGUGAGGUAAUGGCUCACCAAGGCUACGAUCAGUAUCCGGUCUGAGAGGACGGUCGGACACACUGGAACUGAGACACGGUCCAGACUCCUACGGGAGGCAGCAGUGGGGAAUUUUUGGCAAUGGGGGAAACCCUGACCAAGCAACGCCGCGUGGGUGAUGAAGUCUCUUGGGACGUAAAACCCUUUCGACGGGGAAGAAACCGCAAGGUUGACGGUACCCGUAGAAGAAGCCCCGGCUAACUCCGUG